GAUUAACGCUGGCGGCGUGCCUAACACAUGCAAGUCGAGCGGCAGCGAGCUUUUCACUGAAUUCUGGCAGCUUCCAGUUGAAAGAGUAGCUUUAUUCAAGCCUUUUGUGUAAAAUGUCGGCGCGCGGCGGACGGCUGAGUAAUGCGUGGGAACGUACCCCACUGCGAGGGGUAACGCAUCGAAUGGCGUGCUAUUACCGCAUACGGUCUUCGGAUUAAAGCCUUCGGGCGCUUUGGGAACGGCCUGCGUAAGAUUAGUUGGGGGGUGGGGUAAUGGCCUACCAAGGCGACGAUCUUGGACUGGGUGGAGAGGAGGAUCAGUCAGACUGGAGCUGAGACACGGUCCAGACUGCGACGGGAGGGAGCAGUGAGGAAUCUUACACAAUGGGCGAUAGCCUGAUGGAGCAACGCCGCGUGCAGGAUGAAUGCCUUCGGGUUGUAAACUGCUUUUAGAAGUGAGGAGUAUGACAGUAACUGAUGAAGAAGGAUCGGCUAACUACGUG
RNAcentral lists this ribosomal RNA (502 nucleotides) under uncultured bacterium. RNAcentral describes it as "partial 16S ribosomal RNA". It matches the Rfam family "Bacterial small subunit ribosomal RNA", at positions 28 to 507 of the family's 1533-position model. The record is from RNAcentral.